UACGGGGGGGGCAAGCGUUGUUCGGAAUUACUGGGCGUAAAGGGCUUGUAGGCGGCCAACUAAGUCAGACGUGAAAUCCCUCGGCUUAACCGGGGAACUGCGUCUGAUACUGGAUGGCUAGAGAUUGGGAGAGGGAUGCGGAAUUCCAGGUGUAGCGGUGAAAUGCGUAGAUAUCUGGAGGAACACCGGUGGCGAAGGCGGCAUCCUGGACCGACACUGACACUGAAAAGCGAAAGCCAGGGGAGCAAACGGG
RNAcentral lists this ribosomal RNA (253 nucleotides) under uncultured bacterium. Its description in RNAcentral is "partial 16S ribosomal RNA". It matches the Rfam family "Bacterial small subunit ribosomal RNA", at positions 524 to 776 of the family's 1533-position model. The record is from RNAcentral.